UACGAAGGGGGCUAGCGUUGCUCGGAAUUACUGGGCGUAAAGGGAGCGUAGGCGGACGGUUAAGUCAGAGGUGAAAGCCCAGAGCUCAACUCUGGAAUUGCCUUUGAUACUGAUUGUCUUGAGUAUGGGAGAGGUGUGCGGAACUCCGAGUGUAGAGGUGAAAUUCGUAGAUAUUCGGAAGAACACCAGUGGCGAAGGCGGCACACUGGCCCAUUACUGACGCUGAGGCUCGAAAGCGUGGGGAGCAAACAGG
Molecule: ribosomal RNA, 253 nt
Filed under: uncultured bacterium
Lineage: Bacteria
Description: partial 16S ribosomal RNA
Rfam family: Bacterial small subunit ribosomal RNA
Source: RNAcentral